UAGGGAAUCUUCGGCAAUGGACGAAAGUCUGACCGAGCAACGCCGCGUGAGUGAAGAAGGUUUUCGGAUCGUAAAACUCUGUUGUUAGAGAAGAACAAGGACGUUAGUAACUGAACGUCCCCUGACGGUAUCUAACCAGAAAGCCACGGCUAACUACGUGCCAGCAGCCGAGGUAAUACGUAGGUGGCAAGCGUUGUCCGGAUUUAGUGGGCGUAAAGCGAGCGCAGGCGGUUUCUUACGUCUGAUGUGAAAGCCCCCGGCUCAACCGGUUGAGUUCUCUUGAUACUGAGAGACUUCAGUGCAGAAGAGGAGGGUGGAAUUCCAUGUGUAGCGGCGAAAUGCGUAGCUAUAUGGAGGAACACCAGUGGCGAAGGCGGCUCUCUAGUCUGUAACUGACGCUGUGGCUCGAAAGCGUCGUGAGCAAACAGG
Molecule: ribosomal RNA, 429 nt
Filed under: Gemmatimonadota bacterium
Lineage: Bacteria; Pseudomonadati; Gemmatimonadota
Description: Gemmatimonadetes bacterium partial 16S ribosomal RNA
Rfam family: Bacterial small subunit ribosomal RNA
Source: RNAcentral